Molecule: small nucleolar RNA, 89 nt
Organism: Syngnathoides biaculeatus (alligator pipefish)
Lineage: Eukaryota; Metazoa; Chordata; Actinopteri; Syngnathiformes; Syngnathidae
Product: small nucleolar RNA SNORD60
Exons: 1
Source: RefSeq, a predicted model, not a curated record
AGUCGGUGAUGACAAAUCAAUUAAUUUUUCUGACACCUACUAUGACAGCUGGACUCCAGUUUGUGAUUCGAGUUUUUGCCCUGAGGCUU